RNAcentral lists this ribosomal RNA (253 nucleotides) under uncultured bacterium. Its description in RNAcentral is "partial 16S ribosomal RNA". It matches the Rfam family "Bacterial small subunit ribosomal RNA", at positions 524 to 776 of the family's 1533-position model. The record is from RNAcentral.
UACAGAGGGGGCAAGCGUUAUUCGGAAUUAUUGGGCGUAAAGGGCGCGUAGGCGGCCUGACAAGUGGAAGGUGAAAUCCCUCGGCUUAACCGAGGAACUGCCCUCCAAACUGCUUGGCUUGAGUCCGGGAGAGGUGAGUGGAAUUCCUGGUGUAGCGGUGAAAUGCGCAGAUAUCAGGAGGAACACCAAUGGCGAAGGCAGCUCACUGGGACGGUAUUGACGCUGAGACGCGAAAGCGUGGGGAGCAAACAGG